AACAAGAAACAGAUACCCUCUUGCUGUCAUUCAUCUCUGAUCACUGGGAAUCUGAGCUUGAAGGAAGGUGAAAGAAAACUCCUACCGAAAACUGGGAAUCAUUUGUCUCAGGGAGCCUUAUGUGAGCAGGGUUUGCUGCUCUUACUUUCCCAAAGGCACCCAGGUGGAAAUGCCCACUUUGGCCUAAGCUGCCCUUUGCAGACAGAUGCACAGACAAAUGCUGGCCAAAGGUCUCAGUGCAGCCCAUCAUAUAUGAGGUUGGGUCUUCCAAGGAUGAUGUCUCAUGGCUGACCUUGCAUGGUAUCGAAUUUGGUCAUCUGACCAAACCAGUCCUCAGGUAUGCCCUUGAUGGGAUGUGAGUCCAUGAAGACACUGGUGUGAAGUGUUGAGAUGGGCCCUGC
Molecule: long non-coding RNA, 401 nt
Filed under: Zonotrichia albicollis (white-throated sparrow)
Lineage: Eukaryota; Metazoa; Chordata; Aves; Passeriformes; Passerellidae
Description: lncRNA (ENSZALG00000003659.1)
Source: RNAcentral